AGAACGAACGCUGGCGGCAUGCCUAACACAUGCAAGUCGAACGGGCCCUUCGGGGCUAGUGGCGCACGGGUGCGUAACGCGUGGGAAUCUGCCCUUAGGUUCGGAAUAACUCAGGGAAACUUGAGCUAAUACCGUAUAAUGACUUCGGUCCAAAGAUUUAUCGCCUAGGGAUGAGCCCGCGUAGGAUUAGCUUGUUGGUGAGGUAAAGGCUCACCAAGGCGACGAUCCUUAGCUGGUCUGAGAGGAUGAUCAGCCACACUGGGACUGAGACACGGCCCAGACUCCUACGGGAGGCAGCAGUGGGGAAUAUUGGACAAUGGGCGAAAGCCUGAUCCAGCAAUGCCGCGUGAGUGAUGAAGGCCUUAGGGUUGUAAAGCUCUUUUACCCGGGAAGAUAAUGACUGUACCGGGAGAAUAAGCUCCGGCUAACUCCGCGCCAGCAGCCGC
Molecule: ribosomal RNA, 446 nt
Filed under: uncultured bacterium
Lineage: Bacteria
Description: SSU rRNA
Rfam family: Bacterial small subunit ribosomal RNA
Source: RNAcentral